GACGAACGCUGGCGGCGUGCUUAACACAUGCAAGUCGAACGGAAAGGCCCUGCUUUUGUGGGGUGCUCGAGUGGCGAACGGGUGAGUAACACGUGAGUAACCUGCCCUUGACUUUGGGAUAACUUCAGGAAACUGGGGCUAAUACCUGAUAGGAGCUCCUGCUGCAUGGUGGGGGUUGGAAAGUUUCGGCGGUUGGGGAUGGACUCGCGGCUUAUCAGCUUGUUGGUGGGGUAGUGGCUUACCAAGGCUUUGACGGGUAGCCGGCCUGAGAGGGUGACCGGGCACAUUGGGACUGAGAUACGGCCCAGACUGCUACGGGAGGCAGCAGUGGGGAAUAUUGCACAAUGGGCGGAAGCCUGAUGCAGCAACGCCGCGUGCGGGAUGACGGCCUUCGGGUUGUAAACCGUUUUCGCCUGUGACGAAGCGUGAGUGACGGUAAUGGGUAAAGAAGCACCGGCUAACUACGUG
Molecule: ribosomal RNA, 468 nt
Filed under: uncultured bacterium
Lineage: Bacteria
Description: partial 16S ribosomal RNA
Rfam family: Bacterial small subunit ribosomal RNA
Source: RNAcentral